GCGAACGCUGGCGGCAGGCUUAACACAUGCAAGUCGAGCGGGCACUUUCGGGUGUCAGCGGCGGACGGGUGAGUAACGCGUGGGAACGUGCCUUCUGGUUCGGAAUAACCCUGGGAAACUAGGGCUAAUACCGGAUACGCCCUUAUGGGGAAAGGUUUACUGCCGGAAGAUCGGCCCGCGUCUGAUUAGCUAGUUGGUGGGGUAACGGCCUACCAAGGCGACGAUCAGUAGCUGGUCUGAGAGGAUGAUCAGCCACACUGGGACUGAGACACGGCCCAGACUCCUACGGGAGGCAGCAGUGGGGAAUAUUGGACAAUGGGCGCAAGCCUGAUCCAGCCAUGCCGCGUGAGUGAUGAAGGCCUUAGGGUUGUAAAGCUCUUUUAUACGGGACGAUAAUGACGGUACCGGAGGAAUAAGCCCCGGCUAACUUCGU
RNAcentral lists this ribosomal RNA (433 nucleotides) under uncultured bacterium. RNAcentral's name for it is "bacterial SSU rRNA". It matches the Rfam family "Bacterial small subunit ribosomal RNA", at positions 29 to 506 of the family's 1533-position model. The record is from RNAcentral.